Molecule: ribosomal RNA, 1139 nt
Filed under: uncultured organism
Description: bacterial SSU rRNA
Rfam family: Bacterial small subunit ribosomal RNA
Source: RNAcentral
GCUACGGCGCUCUGGGAGGGGCUUGCGGCCCAUCAGCUAGUUGGUAGGGUAAUUGCCUACCAAGGCUAAGACGGGUAGGGGGUGUGAGAGCAUGGUCCCCCACAAUGGGACUGAGACACGGUCCAUACUCCUACGUGGAGGCAGCAGCAGGGAAUAUUGCACAAUAGGCGAAAGCCUGAUGCAGCGACGCCUCGUGAGUGAAGAAGGCCUUCGGGUCGUAAAGCUCUUUUGUAGGGGAAGAGGAAGGACGGUACCCUGAGAAAAAGCGUCGGCUAACUACGUGCCAGCAGCCGCGGUACGACGUAGGACGCGAGCGUUAUCCGGAAUUACUGGGCGUAAAGGGCCAGUAGGUGGCUUGGUAAGUUGUGCGUUAAAGCCUCGUGCUCAACGCGAUGAGGCCGGACAAUACUGUCAAGCUAGAUGGCAUCAGAGGGGACUGGAAUUCCCGGAGUAGCGGUAAAAUGCGUCAGAUAUCGGGAGUGAACACCAAUGGCCGAAGGCAGUCUCCCUGGGAUUGUACCUGACACUGAGGGUCGAAAGCUAUGGGAUCGAACAGGAUUAGAGACCCUGGUAGUCCUAGCUGUAAACGAUGGGUGCUAGGUGUGGGGCGUAGAAGUUCCGUGCCGGAGCAAACGCGAUAAGCAUGCCCGCCUGGGAACUACGGUCGCAAGGCUCAAAGUCAAACGAAUUGACGGGGCCCCGCACAAGCAGCGGAGCGUGUGGUUCAAUUCGAUGGUACACGAAGAGCCUUACAUGGGUUUGACAUGUACGUGGUACGUCGGCGAAAGCCAAAGGACCCUUCGGGGAGCUGUACACAGGUGCUGCAUGGCUGUAGUCAGCUCGUGCCGUGAGGAGUCGGGUUAAGUCACCGUAAAGAGCGCAACCCUUGCCCUUAGUUAUCAAGUGUCUAGGGGGACUGCCGCGCGGGAACCCGGAGGAAGAUGGGGAUGACGUCAAGUCAGCACUGGCCCAUAUGUCCAGGGCUACACACACGUUACAAUGGUCAGCUACAAAGGGUAGCGAAGUCGCGAGGCGGAGCGAAUCUCAGCAAAGUCUGAUCGUAGUUCGGAGUUGCAGGCUGCAACCCGCCUGCAUGAAGCUGGAGUUGAUAGUAACCGCGCGUCAGCCAUAGUGCGGUG